CAGAUAAUAGUUUAAAAAAAAUAUUGACAUUGGAAGUCAAAGAUCAAAGUCCUUUGUUAUCUGA
This 64-nucleotide transfer RNA is filed under the name Chiton albolineatus. Its description in RNAcentral is "tRNA-Pro". Lineage: Eukaryota; Metazoa; Mollusca; Polyplacophora; Chitonida; Chitonidae. The record is from RNAcentral.